UUUUAUGGAGAGUUUGAUCCUGGCUCAGGAUGAACGCUGGCGGCGUGCCUAAUACAUGCAAGUCGAGCGAACGGAUGAGAAGCUUGCUUCUCUGAUGUUAGCGGCGGACGGGUGAGUAACACGUGGAUAACCUACCUAUAAGACUGGGAUAACUUCGGGAAACCGGAGCUAAUACCGGAUAAUAUUUUGAACCGCAUGGUUCAAAAGUGAAAGACGGUCUUGCUGUCACUUAUAGAUGGAUCCGCGCUGCAUUAGCUAGUUGGUAA
Molecule: ribosomal RNA, 266 nt
Filed under: Staphylococcus aureus
Lineage: Bacteria; Bacillati; Bacillota; Bacilli; Caryophanales; Staphylococcaceae
Description: partial 16S ribosomal RNA
Rfam family: Bacterial small subunit ribosomal RNA
Source: RNAcentral